GCCGUCGCCUGGUACAGGAAAAGGUUUACGCUGCCUUCCGGGCAGCGGGCCAAGCGGAUCGCGGUCCGCUUCGACGGCG
This 79-nucleotide transfer RNA is filed under the name Paenibacillus abyssi. RNAcentral describes it as "tRNA-Gly". The record is from RNAcentral. Lineage: Bacteria; Bacillati; Bacillota; Bacilli; Caryophanales; Paenibacillaceae.